ACUCUCUAACGGUCUGAAACACUGCAUUUCCUCAGGGGUGCAAGAGAUAUUCCAAGCACCCUGUCUAAAUAGUGGGGCUCAGAGGCUGGGAUAGGGCACAAAGAGAAACUUAUGUUUAGGAAGAUAUCCUGGCUUGGCAGACUGAGUAGUGCCUCUUCAGCUCUAACACUUUCCAAGUUGUGCUCAGAGAGAACAACUAUUUCUACACAAUGCCCUAUGGAUCCUUCCUGAACCCAGGGAAGCAUCAAGGGUACUGAAGAGAUAAAUCAGUCAACAUGUCUGAGCCAAAGCUACAUCAUCUAAACACUUUCCUCCUUUUCAGGACCUAACUUCGAGGCUAGAGCUUAUGAAGGGCUUGCCUAGAAUCCAUCACGGGAGCAAGACUCUGGCUCAGCGAGCGAGCGUGCUGGGGCCCUGGUCCAUUCUCAGCCACUGGUACAGACCCUCUGUGUUUGUGCCUGUUAAGACUUCCAGCCAGGAAGAAAAUGACAAGAUGCAAUGCUUGUCCUUUGCUCAGAGAGAAUCCAGACAGCUCCUGGAGGCACAUGGAAGAUUAACAACAUAAGGAUGCCAACUCACUGGCACUGUGAGUCUUCUGAAACGCUUUCUGUGGAAGAAGCAGAUGUAUCAAUCUAGCUUUGUGUCGGGUUUCAUCCUUCUUAAUGCAGGAAGGAGGGAGCAACCACUACUACCUCUUACUUCACUAGAACUGCAGUUACACAAAUCACCCAAGAAGGAGCCAUUCAGAAAGGGCUAUCUCUGAGAAAGCAACAUUCUGAGGAGAAAGACUAGUAACAGUGUUGGUUUUUUUUUUAUUAUUAUUAUUAGAAAAACUGAAUCUAAGGCAUACACACUUUUUUGGUCCUUCUUUCUUUUCUUUUCUUUUCUUUUCUUUUCUUUUCUUUCUUUUCUUUUUGUUGGGGGGGGGGGGGUUGACAGGGUUUCCUGGCCGUCCUGGAACUCACUUUGUAGACCAAGCUGGAAUCUCAAAGAGAUCCACCUGCCUCUGCCUUCUAUACUGGGAUUAAAGAUGUGUCUCACCAUGCUAAUUUAAAACCAUCUUACACUUCUCUUCCAUUUGACUUGCUUAAAAAAAAAAAAAGACUGAAAGAUAUUCCCACCCCACCCCCCAUACGCAUGCACCACCCCGAGCCAGAUGUUUGGUGGUGUCAACUAUAGCAGUGGUUCUCAACCGUCCCAAUGUUUUGACUCUGUAUUAAAAUACAGUUUCUCAAAUUUUGGUGACUCCCCAAACAUAAAAUUAUUUCAUUGCUACUUUAAAACUGUAAUUUUGCUACUCUUAUGAAUCAUAAUGUGAAUGAAUAUUUGAUAUGCGUGCAACUCCUGUGAAAGGCAGCCGAACCCCCCCCCCCACACACACACACACAGGGGUUGAGACCCACCGGUUGAGAACUAAGGACCUAGACCAAUGACAUCAUCCAGGUUUUGGGUUCUUGGCAAGGGUCACAAAUAUUGUUCACAUUGAGUUUCCUGCAAAGGCUCUAAAGACAGGAAACCAGCCCUGUGCCUCAGUCCCUUGCCUGAUCUGAGCCAUCCUGUCGGGGCAAAACAAAGACUUUUUGUGUUUUUUUCCUUAAACACACACACAAUUUACCCACACUUUUAAUGAGCACCUUAAUUACAAGCUAAAGAAUUAGCUAUAUUUACAGAUGACCUCAUGCUUGCUGUAAUUAGCAAUGUGAAAGAGCUGGCACAUCCCCAUGCUGGUUCUUGCUCCCCCCACCCCACCCCCACCCCCACCCCAGUUCAGGUUCAUUAGGAAGUUUGACCUCCCAAGACAAGUCGCUCUGGUCCAGAGAGCCCCCCACAGAGAGGAUUGGCCCUCCCUCUCGACUUCAGGAGGGUAUGACUUGCCUGGGAUAAUGAUGCAGGAGAGGUGACAGAUUUCUGAGGGCCCCACUGUAAAGGCUGACAAGUUUUAAUUAACACUGAAGAUAAUUUAACCCUGGCACAGGAAAGGGUAAGAAAGCACUCGUCUCCGAGGCAAGCGCUGGGAUGUACAUGGUGCCCAUGCUUCUCCCACUGCACUAAGUGUGUGCUUAGUGCUCUCCUGAUGUGGAAGCCCCGCACUGAAGGUGCCGCUGACUCAGGCUCUUACUUUCCAUACACUUUUUUUGUGCAAGAGGAGUGUCAAUAGCCUGAUUUGGAAAGUUCGAGCAGGGUGGCCCUCCUUCAGGGUCCAGCCUGCUGCCAACAAUAGGAGCUCCAGAGAGUGCCUGUGCCUGUGCCUGUACAGCCACCCCCACCCUCACCCCCAGCCCCCAGUCAGUUGUCACUCUGCUGUAACAUUUUCCAAAUUUGCUGUGGGCCUGCGCCCUGUUAGGGGAGAGGCUGGGAGGCGGACAUUCUCCUCAUUCUUUUCCCUUAUUAGGUUGUGGAUUUGAUUGCUUUGGGGGGGAUAGGGGCUAAGUUGAGGAAUGGCAUCAGGAAGUGACCCCAGGAAGGGGGGGCUGGGAAGGAGGAAGGGAGAUGAGCAGCAGGCAUGAGCUUUUUUUUGGAGGGGGGGUGGCAGCUCUGCUAAGCCCUCUAGAGCCCCUUGCCCUGGGUUGACAUCUGAGCAUAGGCCCCAAGUGAACCUUGUGGCCCUGUGUGGCAGCCUUUCGGGGCAGUUACUUGAGGGUUAUCAGUGGGAAACUUUCCUGUUUCUACAUCCCUUAGAAGAAAUGGCUGCUGACUACAAGUGAGCGAGGGGGGAGGUGUGCUUCUAACAUGAGGUCAUAGAAGUUUUUUUAUUUUUUAUUUUUUCUGCUUUUGCUUUGAAGAAAGGGGACUGGAGGGAAACCUGGGGAAAAGACUCUCAGUUGACAGCAAACUUGGCAAGCUAUUGCACUGGUCAUGGAGAAAUCUUGCUGAUACUGUCUGUAGCUUAUCCAGACACAAAACUGUUCAGGGCUCAACUCUGAAACAAGCAACCACCUUCCAGAUAAUGAGGCCCAGAUGGAGAGGGCUAGGCCAUGCCACUUGCAGCCCAGUGAGUUACCACUUGAUGGAGGGUGCUCAUUUGAAGUCACAGGCGUGGUUUAGGCUCUAGAGCUCCCUGGGGGAGAACUAGAGGAAAGGGGUGGUGCUGGGUUUUCUACUGUGCUGCCAUUUCAACAGCACUCUCAACCCCCUUGAAGAGGAGGCUAAAACAGCAAGCACUGCCUGGAUGUAGGAUGGAGGUUUACAGCCUGCUUCUAGAUCACUAUUUGUCCUGGUUAAUACUCAGAAUCAUUUCUGAAGGAAAGGGAUGCCCUUUCCAACACAACACUGAAACUUAACCCCUGGUCCCUGCCCAAGGGCAAAUGGCAGAAAAGUAGCAGGAGUGGGUGUGGAGUCCAGUUCCAAUUUUUCCCUAGAACAGCUUGGUGCUUCCCCUCCCACCACAUAUCUCACUGUCUCCUACUUGAUGCAAGGAUAAAGUGUGGACUGGGAUAUCACAAGUGCCUACCCACAGGUAUUCACGCCUCCCAGAGUGCAAACGCUGAGGUGAGGUACCAUCUGGGCUGCUUGUGUCUAGUGAGGAACAGAGAGCGAUCAACCAACCAACCCGCUUGCCCAGCAAGCAUCCCCACAGAAGCCUGGGUCCAUUCAAUAAAUAUCUUCUUGGGUGCAUGUGUGUACAUGUAUGUGUGUGUGUGUGUAUUUUUUUUUUCACUAUAUAACACAGGCUAGCACUGAACUCUGGAAAUCCCUGCCUCUGCCUCACAAGUGCUGGGAUUACAGGCAUAUUCCACCACUCCUGGUUCAUGCAAAAGUAUUUUGCAAUUUAUGUCCCAGGCACUUCUUUUCAAAAUGGAGGGUUAAACAAUAUAUUCUCCAACUACAAGCAUGACUCUCAAGUCCUCCCUUGAUAGAACAGUGAUCUCCCUAACUUCUCUGCUGUUUAUGAAAGGGAGAAGGGGUACCUCAUAAAGACCAUCAGGCAGCUUUGACCUGAGUAGGUAGAAAAGGAAAGAGAAACUGGCUGUUUCUCCACCCUCUGGACCUAAUGGCACCGGGCUACAGACUAUGUCAAAGCAGGCAGUAAGGGGCCACCUGCCCCGCCCCUGCUGGAUCACCCCACAGCAAACUAUUAAUCCCAGGUAGAGGAAGAGGAGGAGAGGAGCACUUCAGGCAACUGCAGCCCUUUCUGCUGGAGGGGAGCUGAGGUAUGAGCUUCAUGCAUCACCCGCAAAGGGGAAGACGCCACUUGGACAAAGACACAGCUAGUGACGCUAGGUAUAUCUCACAGAGGCCACAACACUGACCAAAGAUGUCAGUUUAUGAAGCUCACCAAGGGCACUGCAGUGUCUGGGUCACACAGUUGGCCAUGAGCAUCUGAAUAAAGAAGGUAUUUAAAACCAAACCAAACCAAAAACCAAGCAAACAAACAAACAAGUCAGUCAAGUAUUUCCUGGGAUUCCAUAAGCCAACUCUAUUACUGGCACCUGAAAGUUUAGCUUGGCAGUAAAAAUAAGUCUUAGGAUAGAGUACUUCUGGGCACUGCAGGGGCAAUCUGUCACCUAUAGAAUGCUCCAGAGGCCAGCCUGCCAAAAUCAAGCCUCACUCAUCUUUGAGAGUGGCAGGCAGACCGGCAAGUAACUAAGGUUAUGUGGCUAUCUGCACCAAGAGGCAGUGUGUGGCCUUGCACAGGAUGUGGAGAUAGUAUUGGACAUACAAAAGAGGUGUUCCGGGCUGGCGAGAUGGCUCAGCUCUUCCGAAGAUCCUGAGUUCAAUUCCCAGCAACCACAUGGUGGCUCACAACCACCCGUAAUGAGAUCUGAUGCCCUCUUCUGGUGUGUCUGAAGACAGCUACAUUGUACUUAUUUAUAAUAAAUAAAUCUUUGGGCCACAGGGAGCAGGGACUGAGGGAGCAGAGAGAGGCCGAACCCUAUAAAGGAUGACCACUACAAGUCUGACGCCCGCCCCAGCUACAGAGUAAGUUCUAGAAUACAGUUAGGUUAGCUGUCUAAAAAUCAAAGGCAGCUGGAACAGACCCCUACCUGGGUUUGGCCACUUACAACAUUCUACCUAUAAAAAAUAAGAGGAUCCCACACGGACUUCAGAGGCUAGGGUCUUGUUACUCAAAGGGUUCCAAACAGCUGAGCUAAAGCAAGCAAGGCACCCGCCUCUAACACCUAGAGAUCCCACACAGACAAUAGUCAUCAGGGGAAGCACUAUUUGAAAGCAGCAGCUAUGCACGUAGGACCCUCCUCCAACUUUGCCCAAAAAAACUUGCCCAAAGCAGUGGUACACAGCCCCCAUCCCCACACUCACCUCCUUUAUGAAAACUUCCAUGACUGACCCCACCUGUCCUUUGUCACCCCUUUCCUCUCCCAAGACAGCUAGAGUACUGUGGACUUGCCGGAGUGCAGUUUAGUGGCCUUCUGAGGUCUCAUGUAGCUUUACUUGCUACCCAGAUACGCUGCGAGCUCCUCAGAGAGCAUGGGUCGGGUCUCCGGUUUCUCUCAUACCCCAAAGGCUCUGCAUGGAGCUCCACUCAGUAGAGAGGCCCUGCAAGGGCUGGUGUUCGGCCCUGGCGGUCAUGUUUCUACCUAAGUACUAGACUCCAGGGCCCAUGGAGCCCCAACUCAAGUUACAUAAGAAGCUGGUUGGCUAUAAAAUGCAAACCUACUCUGUAGCCAGUGGCCCCUCAUUUUGCUACCUAAGUGACCACUUUCAAGAAACCUUUCUCUAUUUUACAGUUUAAUGGAAACACAGUACCCUCCCCCCUGAAAGACUUUUCUAUCUACAGCAGUAACCUGGAGCAGGCUCAGCUGAACAUAAAUGUAUAAUAAACCACCCACCAUGGAAACUAGCUUCAGCCUGCGUGAGGGGGAACACACAAUGGACUCUGACACAUUCGCCUUUCGCUGUACCCUUUCUGUCCACUGAGUCAGUUUUAUCAAGAGGAAGUUUAGUUUCAUAUUUGAAGGGAUAAAGAUACUCACUCUCUCUCUCUUUCUCUCAGCUACCCUGCCAUACAGCUACUGAAAGAUUUAAUAAGUCACAUAGGUACUCUGCCAACAGCAAACACCGACCACAUCAUCUUCUUUUUGACUGAGGCAGCCAGCUGCCUGGGCCACUAAGACAGAGAACUGACUCCAUUGCUCCUUUAGCUUCUGCUGACAGGGAGAUGUUUGCUACAGGAUCUCUGGAGAGCAGGACAAAGCCAAACCCACGCUCACAGAGUAUACACCAACUUACCUUCUCCCUCUGAUAUAGUGUGCACAAAAGCAAGAGUGUUCACUGAGAGCCCCAAGCUCUCUCUCUGCUCCUCCCUCCAGGGAGUAAAAGCCACACAACUAGUCUGACAAGCUGAGUCUUCAAACAACCAUGGGUCCAGUGAGACUACAUUGUCCUGCACUGGCUUCCAACAGGAUACAAAAAGCAGAAAUGCUGAGAUGUAAUCACCUAAAAGUCUACCUCCUUCUUUGAACUAGAGUAGCCCUAGAUGCACCUGACCAGAGGAAACAGGAAGAGAUAAAGAGUGGGUAGGAGAGGGGUUUACAGAGGAGAGGGCCUAGAAGAGCUGGACUUGAAAGAUGGGUAAAUCAGGGUGAUUGUUAAAUGACCUGAACCCCAGAAUCCGCAGGGUGGGGAGCUAGGUCAAGAACAGCCAGGGCUACACUAUAUAGAGAAGCCCUGUUUUGAAAAAAAAUCAAACAAAAAAUAAUCAGACUUCUGACAGGGUAUGGUGACAUAUGCCUGAUUCCUAGCAGUUGAAAGGUGAACGUAAGGUAAGAGUGAAUGACACAGCCAGGCGUGGUGGAGCACGCCUUUAAUCUCAGUACUUGGGAGGCAGAGGCAGGCGUAUUUCUGAGUUCGAGGCCAGCCUGGUCCACAGAGUGAGUUCCAGGACAGCCAGGGCUACACAGAGAAACCCUGUCUCGAAAAACAAAACAAAAACAAAAACAAACAAAAAAAACAAAGAGUGAAUGAAUGACACAGUGAGACCCUGUCUCAAAAGCCAACAGUAGGAACAACAUCAUACAGGCUUUAGGCUUAAAAGGGGCAUUGAACACUAAGGCGGAAAAGACACUUUGUGGCGUCUCACCAGGUAUAAACAGUCUCUUGAUGGGAAGGGUGUUGGACCUGACCGCGUGAUAAAAGUUCGGUGCAGUCAUACCACAAAGCAUGAGCAUACAGUGCUGUAAAACUCCAGACUCCAAAGUCACCCAAGCUUUAAUCAGACACAGGUGCGUACCGCAUUGACGAUCACAGAGAUAAUUGAAGCCUUUGUCUGCUUUACUGUAGUGCAGUUUGGGGGUUCCCACUUUAGAAGUCAGUUCUGGUUUGGCUUGUCCAAGGAGCCCAGGAGGAAAAGGCUGCAAUGUCCAGGUUCCUCACCACGUUAUCAGCACUUGAGGAGACAAAGCUCUGAGAUCCCUGAGCCAGGUGGACUCUGACACCUUCCCCACUGUAGGGAACAGCUAAGCCACCACUGGAGGAAAGCUUCAACCUUCCCUCCAGCUCCAGAGCUAUUCCCAAUCUCCAGGCUAUGGUAGAGCUUAGGAACAAGAGCAUAAACCAGAGAGCCAUACCUUUGCUCGACUCUGGCCUGUAUCAGUUUACCUCAUGGCUACAUUGAUUAUUUGAGCUAAACACAAUCAUUUUCAUUUCCUUUUUUGAGACAGUCUGUCUCUCUUGCUCACUUGAACUUAUGAUCCUUCUGUCUCAAACCCCUUGAUUAAAGAUGGGUGUUAUUCAACCCAGUCCCUGGUUCCAUUGCAUGUACUAUGAGGUUAAAAUCUACUUCAGAGGAUUAUGUGCUGACAGUCCACAAUAUACCAGAGUAAAUUGCUAGCUGACAUUAGUUUAUAGCACAGAACCCAAGCUAUCUGGUUUACUGUGUGUGUCCACACUAACCUUUGCAGGCACAUGUAGAGGCCAGAGGCUGACACUAUCAUGUCUUCCUCUAUUGCUUCUCUGCCUGUUUUCCUGAAGAGUAUAUAUGUGAACCUCAUCCAUCUGAGUGCCCAGAGGUCAGAAGAGGGUAUUAAAUUUCAUGGAACUGGAGUUAUAGGCCAGUUUGAACUGCCUAGUAAAUACUAGGAAUCAAACCCUAGUCCUCUACAAGAGUACAGGCUCUUAACCAAGGUUAUGUCUCUAGCCUUAUUUUUGAGACAGGCUCUCUCGCUAAGUUGGAAGUCGCUGCCCUGACUACACUGGCUGGCCAGCAAGCCCUCCAAAUCUGCCUGUCUUCCUGCACAUAUGUACCUUGUGGUUCCAGACACGUGUUGCCAUGGCUGGCUUUUACAUGUGCUAGGGACCCUAGAUCAGGUCCUGGGCAGCAAGCACUUUGCUCACUGAACCAUAUCCCCAGGCCCCUAGCUUCCUUAUGUACAUGUGUGGUGUCCCUGUCCCCACCAACCUCCAAGGCAACUGAGAACAUAUAGAAUGAGAUGGAAGAAGGCCUGCAUCUUUUUAGUCCUCCAACUUCCUUAGUUUAGUGGUCACACACCAAUCCCAAAACAGUCCCCAGAGGCCCUGAACUCUUGACAAAACUGAACCCACUAGAGCCUGAACUGCCACUCCUCAGAAAUCUCAUUUUCCAACUAUGCUUGGAAUGUUUGAUAGGAACAGAAAUUUAUUUUUAGGCAAGAAAAGUUGUCUCCUAAGCUAACCCUACAGUCUUAGUGCUAGCAGGCCGUAUUUGGCAAGGGUUGGCUUGGGCUUGUUUAUCAAAAGGCCCAGAAUUUUCUUAAGUCUACGGUAGCUGCUCAGGGAAUACAGUGGCCUGUGGGUUUUCUAUCCCACUGAGUCUUGUGGUACUCCUGUGUUGCAGUAGAAUCCAACUGACCAUUCCACAUCUUCCCCAGCUUGGGGCCAAGAUUCAUUAACCAGGCAUCCAGAAAGUGUUCAGAGUUAUCAGUGUACUGGAUUUUCUUCCCUCAGUUGACCCCAUCACUGGGUUAUAAAAGCUGGGCAUGAUGGUCUAUAAUACCAGCUGAGACAGAAGGAUGACAAGUUUUAGAGGCCAGGCUUGACUAUGUGGUACCUGGCCAGUCAGGGUUUUGUACUAGCGGCUUCCUCAAAGUGAGGAGAGGUUGGCAUGCUAGGGAUGUGGCACAGGGGCCGUCUGCAGAACAACCAAAGGCCCUGGACCUAAUUUCUAAUAUCAAAAAAAAAGUUUUAAGAAGUGGCCAAGGCAGGUGAGUGUGUUGGGGGUUGGGUAUGUGCCCACACACCUUUAAUCCCAAACACUUGGAAAGUAUGGCCACAGACAGAUCUGAGCUCUGCGUCAGCCUGAUCCACAUAAUGAGUUCCAAGUUAGUUAGUACUACACAGUAAGACCCUGUCUGAAAAGGGGGGGGGGGUGGUGACUAAGAAGUCCCUCCACUCACUGGUGUGUCUAUUUCCUGACCACCCCACCAAGAACCAUAGGAAUGGGUGACUAAAGCCAACAUCUCUGAAAAAGACAUCUUGAUACAGGCCGUUCUGUUUUACAGAAAGUCAAAUCUACCACAGUCUUGGCAGCACAGCUCAAAUGAUCCAAAAAAAAAAAAAAAAAAAAAGUAACUGCCUCACAACCCCAGCGAUGUUUACCGUCUGGAUACCUUCCAGGACUUGAAAAUCUGAAUCAUGACUGCUUCACAGACAGCCUGCAAGAAGGGCCAAUUCAUCAGACUGCCCUUGAACCAGCCUGGCAAGUCACUGCUUCCAGACAUUUUGAAUUUUGAAACUGGGUUUACUUCAUAGGCCCAAACUAGAAGAUUAUGUUAAGUCUUAAAGUUAAAAAAAGAAAGGACAAAAAGAACAAAGAAACCCCAGCCUUUCCCAAAGCAAGCCAUGUCGGCACCAGCCAGGGCCACACUUCUCACAAGGAUUUUAGUUUCAUCAGGAAUUUAAUGAGCCAUGUAUCUUAAAGGAAAGGUUGGGGGUGUUCUCAGAGCUGGAAAGAUGUGGAUUUUUAAAAAGUUUUUAUUUUUUAAUAGUGCUCUUUAUUUGCUCUUGGGGUCUGAUGAGAACUUUAGAAUUUUAAAUUUGUGUUUGUAAAAAACAGGCAAAAGAUGAAGACACACAUGGAGUGGGGGGGGGGGGUGUUUAGUAGCUCAGGGGUAAAGCUGUUCCUUAACACAUGUGAGGUCCUGGGUUUGACCCCCAGCACUGAGACAAUAAAAGGCCACAUAGCUGAAAUUCCAACUCUAAAAGCCUAGAGAAAAAGACCCUAGAGUGGCUACAAAGGCACCAGCUGCUGUGCAUAUCCCUUAUCAAUAAAGUAGGCUGGCCCAACUUCUCUUCUUGUCAGGGAACACAGCCACUCAUACCCUUCUGGGCAUGGCCACUGUGCAAGACAUGUGGGCAUUUUCCUGUAAGACCACCUGGCAGCAGCUUUUCUGCCCAGGGGCCCCUGGAUUGGGUGCAGCACUCCCCUAAAUAGUAAGCAGACUGUGUUUCCAUGGUGAGAGCAAUUAAAUACCUUCUAUUCACGCCAGAGUUAGUCAGACAAGAGUGCUAAUGUGCUAAUCUAAUCUACACACACACACACACACACAGAGAGAGAGACAGAGAGAGAGAGAGAGAGAGACAGAGACAGAGAGACAGAGAGACAGACAGAGGCAAAGAGAGGCAGAGAGACAGCACCAGUGUCCUGAUGCUGCUGACUGAAGCCAGUUUCCAGGACUGGCUUUGUUUGGCCUUUA
Mus musculus (house mouse) is the source of this 10628-nucleotide long non-coding RNA. RefSeq annotates it as predicted gene, 51446. The transcript is spliced from 2 exons. NCBI's taxonomy places the organism in Eukaryota, Metazoa, Chordata, Mammalia, Rodentia, Muridae. The record is from RefSeq and is a predicted model, not a curated record.